RNAcentral lists this ribosomal RNA (500 nucleotides) under uncultured bacterium. RNAcentral's name for it is "bacterial SSU rRNA". It matches the Rfam family "Bacterial small subunit ribosomal RNA", at positions 8 to 518 of the family's 1533-position model. The record is from RNAcentral.
AGAGUUUGAUUCUGGCUCAGGAUGAACGCUGGCGGCGUGCUUAACACAUGCAAGUCGAACGGAGACAAGAGAAGGCUUGCUUUUCUUAUCUUAGUGGCGGACGGGUGAGUAACGCGUGGGUAACCUACCCUGUACAGGGGGAUAGCAGUUGGAAACGACUGAUAAAACCGCAUAAAACGGCAGUACCGCAUGGUACAACCGUCAAAUAUUCAUAGGUACAGGAUGGGCCCGCGUCUGAUUAGCUAGUUGGUGGGGCAACGGCCUACCAAGGCGACGAUCAGUAGCCGGCCUGAGAGGGUGAACGGCCACAUUGGGACUGAGACACGGCCCAAACUCCUACGGGAGGCAGCAGUGGGGAAUAUUGGACAAUGGGGGAAACCCUGAUCCAGCGAACCGCCGCGUGAGUGAAGAAGUAUUUCGGUAUGUAAAGCUCUAUCAGCAGGGAAGAUGAUGACGGUACCUGACUAAGAAGCACCGGCUAAAUACGUGCCAGCCGCAGC